UAGAGUUUGAUCCUGGCUCAGAUUGAACGCUGGCGGCAUGCUUUACACAUGCAAGUCGAACGGCAGCGCGGGGCAACCUGGCGGCGAGUGGCGAACGGGUGAGUAAUAUAUCGGAACGUACCCAAGAGUGGGGGAUAACGUAGCGAAAGUUACGCUAAUACCGCAUACGAUCUAAGGAUGAAAGCAGGGGACCGCAAGGCCUUGUGCUCCUGGAGCGGCCGAUAUCUGAUUAGCUAGUUGGUAGGGUAAAGGCCUACCAAGGCUACGAUCAGUAGCUGGUCUGAGAGGACGACCAGCCACACUGGAACUGAGACACGGUCCAGACUCCUACGGGAGGCAGCAGUGGGGAAUUUUGGACAAUGGGCGCAAGCCUGAUCCAGCAAUGCCGCGUGAGUGAAGAAGGCCUUCGGGUUGUAAAGCUCUUUUGUCAGGGAAGAAACGGUGGAGGUUAAUACCUUCCACUAAUGACGGUACCUGAAGAAUAAGCACCGGCUAACUACGUGCCAGCAGCCGCGGUAAUACGUAGGGUGCAAGCGUUAAUCGGAAUUACUGGGCGUAAAGCGUGCGCAAGCGGUUUUGUAAGUCUGAUGUGAAAUCCCCGGGCUCAACCUGGGAAUUGCAUUGGAGACUGCAAGGCUAGAAUCUGGCAGAGGGGGGUAGAAUUCCACGUGUAGCAGUGAAAUGCGUAGAGAUGUGGAGGAACACCGAUGGCGAAGGCAGCCCCCUGGGUCAAGAUUGACGCUCAUGCACGAAAGCGUGGGGAGCAAACAGGAUUAGAUACCCUGGUAGUCCACGCCCUAAACGAUGUCUACUAGUUGUCGGGUUUUAAUUAACUUGGUAACGCAGCUAACGCGUGAAGUAGACCGCCUGGGGAGUACGGUCGCAAGAUUAAAACUCAAAGGAAUUGACGGGGACCCGCACAAGCGGUGGAUGAUGUGGAUUAAUUCGAUGCAACGCGAAAAACCUUACCUACCCUUGACAUGUACGGAAGCCACGAGAGAUCGAGGUGUGCUCGAAAGAGAACCGUAACACAGGUGCUGCAUGGCUGUCGUCAGCUCGUGUCGUGAGAUGUUGGGUUAAGUCCCGCAACGAGCGCAACCCUUGUCAUUAGUUGCUACGAAAGAGCACUCUAAUGAGACUGCCGGUGACAAACCGGAGGAAGGUGGGGAUGACGUCAAGUCCUCAUGGCCCUUAUGGGUAGGGCUUCACACGUCAUACAAUGGUACAUACAGAGGGCCGCCAACCCGCGAGGGGGAGCUAAUCCCAGAAAGUGUAUCGUAGUCCGGAUUGUAGUCUGCAACUCGACUACAUGAAGUUGGAAUCGCUAGUAAUCGCGGAUCAGCAUGUCGCGGUGAAUACGUUCCCGGGUCUUGUACACACCGCCCGUCACACCAUGGGAGCGGGUUUUACCAGAAGUAGGUAGCUUAACCGCAAGGAGGGCGCUUACCACGGUAGGAUUCGUGACUGGGGUGAAGUCGUAACAAGGUAGCCGA
This 1493-nucleotide ribosomal RNA is filed under the name uncultured bacterium. RNAcentral describes it as "bacterial SSU rRNA". It matches the Rfam family "Bacterial small subunit ribosomal RNA". The record is from RNAcentral.